This 908-nucleotide long non-coding RNA is filed under the name Theobroma cacao (cacao). RNAcentral's name for it is "long non-coding RNA (TCAC_LNC002467)". Lineage: Eukaryota; Viridiplantae; Streptophyta; Magnoliopsida; Malvales; Malvaceae. The record is from RNAcentral.
UACCUUUUUAAAUCCAUUUUUCUAUAGAAUUCAUGAAAUCAUCUAAAAGCCACCAUAGAUAAUUAAAAUGACAGUAAGUUUACUCACAAUGUCUAGAGUGUAAAUUUUCAAAGUACUUUGACUACUGGUCCUCAGAUGCAAUUUUCUUGCCUUUAUCGGAGGACUCACCACCUUGAAAUAGUACAAAAUCGAGAAACUUACUACAUUGGUACUAAAUCGAAAUUAAACUAAUUGAGACUACUAAUGCAUGAUAUGGAAUGCAAAAUGCACGGGUAACCAUCUAAACCCGAUAUUGGCCUAAUUCAUCUUAUCACCCGAUUAAUUAGUCAACGUGUCCAAUUUAGCUCCAAAUUGCUCAAUUUCUUUUCCAAUACCUUAAUUCACCAAACACAAGUCAAAUAACCUAAAAUUUGGCAAAACCAUCUUCAUUUUUCUUUUUAGAAUUUUCAAUCAAUAAUGGUGCAUUAACACUGUGAUUUUUUCUACUACUUUUCCACACCAUAAUUCAUCAUUUUCUAACCAAUUCUCUUAAAAUAAAAAAUUAAAUUCAUCCUCACUCAAUACAAGGUAGGUUUGCCCAUUGAUGGGUGAUGGAGAAAAUGAAUUCUUUUAUUGUUGUUUUGCUUAUAGACAUGGUAAACUAACUAAAAACACUAACAUAACUUGAAAUCAAAUCAAUCUAACAUCAUUCUCUCUCCAUACCCAUUCGGCUAGCCAUGAAUUCACCAUGAAAACAUGAAAUUCAACCAUGGAAAAUAAGGAGAAAUGCUUAAGGAAAAUAGAUUUCAAGUUUAAAUUGAGAAAUCCUACCUUUUUCACUUGUUUUUCUUGAUUUUCCACACUUUUUCUCUUGAAAUUCUCCACCUAGGGUUUGUUCUUUCUUUGUUUCCCUCUUUUCCUUGCUUGGC